Scylla paramamosain (green mud crab) is the source of this 613-nucleotide long non-coding RNA. RefSeq lists it as uncharacterized. The record is from RefSeq and is a predicted model, not a curated record. Lineage: Eukaryota; Metazoa; Arthropoda; Malacostraca; Decapoda; Portunidae. The transcript is spliced from 2 exons.
CCCUCCUGACGAGGACCCUCGUGCGGGACAGCUAAUGUUGCUGCACCGGCACCGGAAGGUGCACGAGUACCGGCAGGAGCAACAGCAUAUAACCACCUAGAAACACACAGACAACUUACAUGUUCCAUUACAUCUGAUAUGAUUCCAAACACACAAGUCCCUCACCCUGCAGCACGUCGGAUGGGAAGAGUGACAUGUUGAGUCAGGGUUUGGGAGGCUAGUGCCACGCCACUCACAGGUCCUCUUCAUGUUUCCUGGGCCACUCGUUCGCCCUCGAUAUCGUCACACGUGAAACCAUAAAAGCAAACAGUUCACUUACAAUACUUAAUUAAGCAAACUGGGUAAUUAUGUACAAAACUAGUUACUAAGAAAAGAACUAAUAAAUACCGUACACAAAUUCUGGCAAACCAAGUAUACGCUGUACCAAAGGGAUUAAAUACACACAGCAAGAAAAAUAAUGAACCGUAAACAUGAGCUAAAUAUAAUGACAAGGACCCUUCACUCACACACCAAACCUUUCAAAUGGUGCUCUCCAUUCUUCACCUUAAGAAACAAAUAUCACCAUCCCCACAGUGCAUAAUGUAGCGCGUGUUUAAAUAAAGAGAAUAUAUUA